This 480-nucleotide ribosomal RNA is filed under the name Streptococcus parasanguinis. Its description in RNAcentral is "bacterial SSU rRNA". It matches the Rfam family "Bacterial small subunit ribosomal RNA", at positions 36 to 500 of the family's 1533-position model. Lineage: Bacteria; Bacillati; Bacillota; Bacilli; Lactobacillales; Streptococcaceae. The record is from RNAcentral.
CUGGCGGCGUGCCUUAAUACAUGCAAGUAGAACGCUGAAGCUUGGUGCUUCACCGAGCGGAUGAGUUGCGAACGGGUGAGUAACGCGUAGGUAACCUGCCUCUUAGCGGGGGAUAACUAUUGGAAACGAUAGCUAAUACCGCAUAAAAGACGAUAUCGCAUGAUAUUGACUGAAAGGUGCAAAUGCAUCACUAAGAGAUGGACCUGCGUUGUAUUAGCUAGUUGGUGAGGUAACGGCUCACCAAGGCAACGAUACAUAGCCGACCUGAGAGGGUGAUCGGCCACACUGGGACUGAGACACGGCCCAGACUCCUACGGGAGGCAGCAGUAGGGAAUCUUCGGCAAUGGGGGCAACCCUGACCGAGCAACGCCGCGUGAGUGAAGAAGGUUUUCGGAUCGUAAAGCUCUGUUGUAAGAGAAGAACGAGUGUGAGAGUGGAAAGUUUCACACUGUGACGGUAACUUACCCGAAAGGACGCUAA